GAGAGAAAGGUAUGAGCAGUAGGGAGAGAGAAGGAGAGGGAGAGAGAAAGGUAUGAGCAGUAGGGAGAGAGAAGGAGAGGGAGAGAGAAAGGUAUGAGCAGUAGGGAGAGAGAAGGAGAGGGAGAGAGAAAGGUAUGAGCAGUAGGGAGAGAGAAGGAGAGGGAGAGAGAAAGGUAUGAGCAGUAGGGAGAGAGAAGGAGAGGGAGAGAGAAAGGUAUGAGCAGUAGGGAGAGAGAAGGAGAGGGAGAGAGAAAGGUAUGAGCAGUAGGGAGAGAGAAGGAGAGGGAGAGAGAAAGGUAUGAGCAGUAGGGAGAGAGAAGGAGAGGGAGAGAGAAAGGUAUGAGCAGUAGGGAGAGAGAAGGAGAGGGAGAGAGAAAGGUAUGAGCAGUAGGGAGAGAGAAGGAGAGGGAGAGAGAAAGGUAUGAGCAGUAGGGAGAGAGAAGGAGAGGGAGAGAGAAAGGUAUGAGCAGU
Molecule: long non-coding RNA, 471 nt
Organism: Oncorhynchus keta (chum salmon)
Lineage: Eukaryota; Metazoa; Chordata; Actinopteri; Salmoniformes; Salmonidae
Exons: 3
Source: RefSeq, a predicted model, not a curated record